Molecule: long non-coding RNA, 137 nt
Organism: Xiphophorus hellerii (green swordtail)
Lineage: Eukaryota; Metazoa; Chordata; Actinopteri; Cyprinodontiformes; Poeciliidae
Exons: 4
Source: RefSeq, a predicted model, not a curated record
UUUGUUGUUUGAAUGUUUAUAUGUUUAUUUUAAUUCCUAACCUGCAAAGAAUCAACCAGAGACACAAUUUACUUUUCUGCAGAACAGGAGAGUGGACCCGAGACACGGAAAGCCGCCGUCAAACACUGUCUGGGAUC